AAAUGCGAUAACUAGUGUGAAUUGCAGAAUUCCGUGAAUCAUCGAGUCUUUGAACGCACUUUGCGCCCCCUGGUAUUCCGGGGGGCAUGCCUGUCCGAGCGUCAUUGCUGCCCAUCAAGCACGGCUUGUGUGUUGGGUCGUCGUCCCCUCUCCGGGGGGGACGGGCCCCAAAGGCAGCGGCGGCACCGCGUCCGAUCCUCGAGCGUAUGGGGCUUUGUCACCCGCUCUGUAGGCCCGGCCGGCGCUUGCCGAACGCAAAUCAAUCUUUUUCCAGGUUGACCUCGGAUCAGGUAGGGAUACCCGCUGAACUUAAGC
RNAcentral lists this unclassified non-coding RNA (315 nucleotides) under plant metagenome. Its description in RNAcentral is "partial contains 5.8S ribosomal RNA, internal transcribed spacer 2, and large subunit ribosomal RNA". The stretch from base 1 to 104 matches the Rfam family "5.8S ribosomal RNA", at positions 51 to 154 of the family's 154-position model. The record is from RNAcentral.